GAACGCUAGCGGCAGGCCUAACACAUGCAAGUCGAGGGGUAACAGGGAUUGCUUGCAAUCCGCUGACGACCGGCGCACGGGUGCGUAACGCGUAUACAAUCUACCUUUUGCUGGGGGAUAGCCUUUGGAAACGAAGAUUAAUACCCCAUAGUAUGUUGAUGUUGCAUGACAUUAAUAUUAAAGGUUACGGCAAAAGAUGAGUAUGCGUCCUAUUAGCUAGAUGGUGUGGUAACGGCAUACCAUGGCAACGAUAGGUAGGGGCCCUGAGAGGGGGAUCCCCCACACUGGUACUGAGACACGGACCAGACUCCUACGGGAGGCAGCAGUGAGGAAUAUUGGACAAUGGAGGCAACUCUGAUCCAGCCAUGCCGCGUGCAGGAAGACUGCCCUAUGGGUUGUAAACUGCUUUUAUACGGGAAGAAACACUCCCUCGUGAGGGAGCUUGACGGUACCGUAAGAAUAAGGAUCGGCUAACUCCGUGCCAGCAGCCGCGGUAAUACGGAGGAUCCAAGCGUUAUCCGGAAUCAUUGGGUUUAAAGGGUCCGUAGGUUGAUAAUUAAGUCAGAGGUGAAAUCCUGCAGCUUAACUGUAGAAUUGCCUUUGAUACUGGUUAUCUUGAGUUAUUAUGAAGUAGUUAGAAUAUGUAGUGUAGCGGUGAAAUGCAUAGAUAUUACAUAGAAUACCAAUUGCGAAGGCAGAUUACUAAUAAUAUACUGACACUGAUGGACGAAAGCGUGGGUAGC
This 743-nucleotide ribosomal RNA is filed under the name bacterium s1cb117. Its description in RNAcentral is "bacterial SSU rRNA". It matches the Rfam family "Bacterial small subunit ribosomal RNA", at positions 31 to 769 of the family's 1533-position model. The record is from RNAcentral.